UACGUAGGUGGCAAGCGUUGUCCGGAAUUAUUGGACGUAAAGCGCGCGCAGGCGGUCCUUUAAGUCUGAUGUGAAAGCCCACGGCUCAACCGUGGAGGGUCAUUGGAAACUGGAGGACUUGAGUACGGAAGAGGAAAGCGGAAUUCCACGUGUAGCGGUGAAAUGCGUAGAGAUGUGGAGGAACACCAGUGGCGAAGGCGGCUUUCUGGUCUGUAACUGACGCUGAGGCGCGAAAGCGUGGGGAGCAAACAGG
Molecule: ribosomal RNA, 253 nt
Filed under: uncultured bacterium
Lineage: Bacteria
Description: partial 16S ribosomal RNA
Rfam family: Bacterial small subunit ribosomal RNA
Source: RNAcentral